Non-coding RNA from Myodes glareolus (Bank vole), 480 nucleotides. The record is from RefSeq and is a predicted model, not a curated record. NCBI's taxonomy places the organism in Eukaryota, Metazoa, Chordata, Mammalia, Rodentia, Cricetidae.
UGACUCUAAUCUUAGGACCAGGGCAUAUUCCUUUCACUGGCUCUGAUUCUAGGGAUAAAAAUGUGUUUCUUUGACACUGGUUUCAGAGUCAAAGCAUGUUUCUCUGGUGGUGGGUUCAAGGAUAAAGAUGUUUCUUUCCCUGGCUCAGGUCUCAAUUACAGGGUGCAUUUCUUUUACUGGCUCUGGGUUCAGAGUCAGGAUGAUCAGUGAUUGGUUGGUUUCCUGCUCAGGGAUUGGUUGAUUCAGUUGGUCAGUUGGUCAGUUGAUGGGGCAGAGAUGGUUUCCUGCUCCAGUUGGUCCUUUUACUCUACAUUCUCUUUGUUUCUAUUUUAUUAGUUUCAGUCCUCAAUUUGAUUAUUUCUUGCCAUCAACUUCUUCUGGGAAAUGAAGCUGAAGUCUCUUACCAAGAUGAUAGAGAUCCAGUUCCAGUCCGAGCCGGAAGCAGAACUGUGUGCUGGGAUUAAAGGCGUGCGCCACCAC